RNAcentral lists this ribosomal RNA (506 nucleotides) under uncultured bacterium. Its description in RNAcentral is "partial 16S ribosomal RNA". It matches the Rfam family "Bacterial small subunit ribosomal RNA", at positions 29 to 523 of the family's 1533-position model. The record is from RNAcentral.
AGUGAACGCUGGCGGUAGGCCUAACACAUGCAAGUCGAACGGCAGCACAGAGGAGCUUGCUCCUUGGGUGGCGAGUGGCGGACGGGUGAGGAAUACAUCGGAAUCUACUCUGUCGUGGGGGAUAACGUAGGGAAACUUACGCUAAUACCGCAUACGACCUACGGGUGAAAGCAGGGGACCUUCGGGCCUUGCGCGAUUGAAUGAGCCGAUGUCGGAUUAGCUAGGUGGCGGGGUAAAGGCCCACCAAGGCGACGAUCCGUAGCUGGUCUGAGAGGAUGAUCAGCAACACUGGAACUGAGACACGGUCCAGACUCCUACGGGAGGCAGCAGUGGGGAAUAUUGGACAAUGGGCGCAAGCCUGAUCCAGCCAUACCGCGUGGGUGAAGAAGGCCUUCGGGUUGUAAAGCCCUUUUGUUGGGAAAGAAAUCCAGCUGGCUAAUACCCGGUUGGGAUGACAGUACCCAAAGAAUAAGCACCGGCUAACUUCGUGCCAGCAGCCGCCGUAA